Didymosphaeria variabile is the source of this 87-nucleotide non-coding RNA. Lineage: Eukaryota; Fungi; Ascomycota; Dothideomycetes; Pleosporales; Didymosphaeriaceae. The record is from the annotation of a RefSeq genome assembly.
GGGCUUGUGGUUUAGGGGUAUAAUGUUCGCUUCGCAUAAUCCAAAUGUGCUUGCGAAAGGUCCUGGGUUCGAUUCCCAGCAAGUCCA